AGCGGGGUCAGGCUGCCUGUAACACUGAUAGAGCAGCUCCGCAUAGGGCUGCUCAGUUACAGGCAGCCUGCAUGCUGUGUUCAGCUCACGGCAGAGGCUCUGCUCCUGGAGCCUCUGUCGAUUUUUUUUUUCCAGCAGCACUUUCGGACAGGCACAGUGAGAGACAGCCUGGAGGGUCUUUGAUAAGGCCCCUCGGCUGUCUCUCAGUGUGCUACAAGCUCUCUGCUGCGUGUGACCAAGGGGGUAAGUAUUUAAUAACAG
Molecule: non-coding RNA, 261 nt
Organism: Pelobates cultripes (western spadefoot toad)
Lineage: Eukaryota; Metazoa; Chordata; Amphibia; Anura; Pelobatidae
Source: the annotation of a GenBank genome assembly